This 617-nucleotide ribosomal RNA is filed under the name uncultured bacterium. RNAcentral's name for it is "bacterial SSU rRNA". It matches the Rfam family "Bacterial small subunit ribosomal RNA", at positions 338 to 959 of the family's 1533-position model. The record is from RNAcentral.
CCUACGGGAGGCAGCAGUAAGGAAUAUUGGACAAUGCUCGCAAGAGUGAUCCAGCCAUGCCGCGUGCAGGAAGACGGCCCUAUGGGUUGUAAACUGCUUUUGAACUAGAGAAAACCCUUCUACGUGUAGAAGGCUGAUAGUAUAGUUAGAAUAAGCAUCGGCUAACUUCGUGCCAGCAGCCGCGGUAAGACGAAGGAUGCAAGCGUUAUCCGGAUUCAUUGGGUUUAAAGGGAGCGUAGGUGGACUGAUAAGUCAGUGGUGAAAUCUCUCGGCUUAACCGAGAAAUUGCCAUUGAUACUGUUGGUCUUGAGUACAGUUGCUGUGGGCGGAAUAUGACAUGUAGUGGUGAAAUACAUAGAGAUGUCAUAGAACACCGAUUGCGAAGGCAGCUCACAAAGCUGUAACUGACACUGAGGCUCGAAAGUGCGGGGAUCAAACAGGAUUAGAUACCCUGGUAGUCCGCACUGUAAACGAUGAUUACUCGCUGCUGGGAGGUAACUUUCAGUGGCUUAGCGAAAGCGANAAGUAAUCCACCUGGGGAGUACGCCGGCAACGGUGAAACGUCAAAGGAAUUGACGGCGNGAGGACGNGCGACGGACGACGACGAGGGGAGGAGG